This 425-nucleotide ribosomal RNA is filed under the name uncultured bacterium. RNAcentral's name for it is "partial 16S ribosomal RNA". It matches the Rfam family "Bacterial small subunit ribosomal RNA", at positions 354 to 796 of the family's 1533-position model. The record is from RNAcentral.
GUGGGGAAUAUUGGACAAUGGGCGCAAACCUGAUCCAGCCAUGCCGCGUGAGUGAUGAAGGCCUUAGGGUUGUAAAGCUCUUUCACCGGUGAAGAUAAUGACGGUAACCGGAGAAGAAGCCCCGGCUAACUUCGUGCCAGCAGCCGCGGUAAUACGAAGGGGGCUAGCGUUGUUCGGAAUUACUGGGCGUAAAGCGCACGUAGGCUGAUAUUUAAGUCAGGGGUGAAAUCCCGGGGCUCAACCCCGGAACUGCCUUUGAUACUGGGUAUCUUGAGUUUGGAUGAGGUCAGUGGAAUUGCGAGUGUAGAGGUGAAAUUCGUAGAUAUUCGCAGGAACACCCGUGGCGAAGGCGGCUGACUGAUCCAUUACUGACGCUGAGGUGCGAAAGCGUGGGGAGCAAACAGGAUUAGAAACCCUUGUAGUCC